CUGAUGUCCUCCUUCCUUGAGACCCUCAUUCUCCGUGACAGCAGAAGCGCCAUCAGCCUGGGAGUGAGAUGCCUCUACGACAUCCCUGAGGGUCUCAUCCACACACCUCUCUGCCUCCUUGAGCUUUUCCAGAUGCAGGUGAGGCUGUGACAGUCUGGAAUCCGUGCCUGGAUGGACUGGAUGAGGGUAUGGCUGGGAGAGACUCCUGCCUGAAACAUUGGAGAGCUGCUGUCAGUCAGAGUAGACAAUACGAAACUAGAUGGAUUAAUG
Hemicordylus capensis (graceful crag lizard) is the source of this 270-nucleotide long non-coding RNA. RefSeq lists it as uncharacterized. Lineage: Eukaryota; Metazoa; Chordata; Lepidosauria; Squamata; Cordylidae. The transcript is spliced from 3 exons. The record is from RefSeq and is a predicted model, not a curated record.